GCCAGCAGCCAUGUCACUUUGUAACUCACAACUGGCAGCCCACUGAAGCUGAGCAGGUGGGAGCCUGGCCAGUACCUGGAUGGGAGACCUCCUGGGAAAAAUUAAGGUUGCUGCUGGAA
Ribosomal RNA from Lepisosteus oculatus (spotted gar), 119 nucleotides. The record is from Rfam. Lineage: Eukaryota; Metazoa; Chordata; Actinopteri; Semionotiformes; Lepisosteidae.